This 86-nucleotide microRNA precursor is filed under the name Solanum tuberosum (potato). RNAcentral describes it as "MIR8024 microRNA precursor family". It matches the Rfam family "MIR8024 microRNA precursor family". Lineage: Eukaryota; Viridiplantae; Streptophyta; Magnoliopsida; Solanales; Solanaceae. The record is from Rfam by way of RNAcentral.
UUGGAGGAUUUGAAGACUUCAACUUGUAAACUUGAAGAAUUUGAAGACUUCAACUAGAAUAUUUGGAGGCUAUGAAAACUUCAACU